CUUUUCUGCAGUGACCUUUCAUCUGUGAGGGCAGACUGUGUUCGGCAGGAGUGGUCAGCAUACUCUGUGAUAGGGUUAUCUGGGGAAUGAGGUGCUCUUUCACUUUCUUCAUUAACAGUUUUGUAAUGUAGAUCAUGCACUGUGGAGAGCUCAACAGUGAAGUUUCUAGAGGCAUCGGAAACCAUCCACUGUUUCUGGUAUUGGAGGCUCUAUCACCUCUGUAAAUCUUCUGAUUGAUGAAACCCACGGAGAUGGAGUUCUUGAGUAGCCAAGAGACUGCUCUUGGGUUCUUUCAUUACCACUGAGUUGUUUGUUACAAGUUAUUUGAUCCUAAACUGUUUAUUCUAGUUGUGUAAUUCAU
This 361-nucleotide long non-coding RNA is filed under the name Fukomys damarensis (Damara mole-rat). RNAcentral's name for it is "lncRNA (ENSFDAG00000031842.1)". The record is from RNAcentral. Lineage: Eukaryota; Metazoa; Chordata; Mammalia; Rodentia; Bathyergidae.